CAUGAGUGACCUUCAAAGGAAAGCCGGGUAUCUGUGGUCUUUAAGAUGUGAUCCAUGACAUUUAAAAACUGAAGAAAUGGAAAGAUCAUCUGAUCAGGCCCAUCAGUCUUUUUCCUAAUGCUAAACAUUGGUACAAAGACGUGAAGUUUGAUGUCUCACUAAGAUUGCCUAGGGCUGCUUUAUUGCUCACCUACUUCAAAGUAUUGGGAAAACAUGAUUAUGGGUACAGGUGAUGCUGUGUUGCCCCCAGACAGGUUUCUUUUGUCAGGUUCUUUUGAUGGAUUAGGAACCUACAAGUGGGGAGAUUUUAGGGAAAUAGCCCCUCCACUUGGAUUUCACCAAAACGUCUUUAGGGUUCUCUUACCCCAAGAAACACGCAUUCCUCUUUAGUGUGGCAGCCCACUCUAUUGGCAAAGUUAAGCAGACCAGUUUUACUAAAAAGGAGCCACCCAGAAACUUAGACAGAAAAUACUUGAGGCACAGAUGAGAAUGAGCACAAAUGUGCAUAGCAAGUGCAGUUUCCUGGCCCUUAAACUGAAGGGCCAGGUCAGUCUGCUCCUCCAGGCACAGCCUGGGACCCCAUCAUGUGCCCCACUCUGCAGUCUGAGCUUCCACUCAAGUCCACCAGGGCCUGCCUCACAUAUAUAUACAAGACCCAAUGUCAGAGUCUGCCUCUGCCCAUGUCUGGUCAGAGGGUUGCACUUUGCCACUGCUACAUGUUCCCAGAGGUUGGCACAGCAUGACCUGGACCUCACCUAACCCAGGCAAACUCUGCUCAUCUUCGAGCUCUCUGGAACCCAUUUCUCAAGGGAGAACCACAUUCCCCCACCUCACAGCCAAGUUCAAGGAAGCAGCCUGGCUAAAGCAAUGACUCAAGGAUACCAGAAGCAGAGCACGCAUUUAAGAAGAUGCGCUGACUCGCAGGAGCAGCUGACUCUUCUUAAGAAGAGUUUACUGAUUCUUCUUUCAGUACGGGCCUUUUAAUAAGAUAUUGUAUUUUACUUCAGCUAUGGGUGCAGACAAUUAAAGGAUU
RNAcentral lists this long non-coding RNA (1033 nucleotides) under Homo sapiens (human). RNAcentral describes it as "HSALNT0325125". The record is from RNAcentral. Lineage: Eukaryota; Metazoa; Chordata; Mammalia; Primates; Hominidae.